AGGGAGCUGAACUGCAUUUCCUGGGAUGAAGCAGGAGGGGAAGGCAGUGCCGCUUGUUUGCAGGUAUGUCCCUUUGAUGUCUGACCCUGGCAGUUGCUACCUGAAAAUAUUCACUGCGGAUUGGAAACCAUCAAGAAGCGACAACCAAACAGUGGCCCACAGUAGCAUAUCAUUUCCAAAGUUGCACAAAGUAUUCCCAAUGCUUAGGGCUUUGUAUAAUACUUCUAGCAACAACAACUUUCUUGAAUACCAGAGAACAGAGCAAUGGCAUUUAAAAUCUAACUGUGGGGCCUCUUUCAUAGCUAGGCAUUUAGAGUUUGGUACAAAGAUCCUCUUUCUGGGAUUAGGAGCAGGAGGGCUGAAGGAGCAAUGUGACCGAUCUUUGAUAUAGCCAGGAGGAUGGGAAAUUUCCGAUGUAGUUGCCGAGUCCCACGAAACCAUCCUAUGGGUCCUGGCAGCUCCUCCUGGAGCAAGUCAUAGAAGAAAAGAGCACUUCUCUUCUUCAAGCUACAGUGCUCUGACGGGUGCCCCGUCACUGGUGUUCCGCACAGGCCCAACGGCUGUGCCAGGUGUGCCCAGCGGGGAGAAAUCAGUGGUGGUCAAUCAGCAUCUGAAGGAAAGCCUUUCUCUUUCACUGGCCCACGUGGCGGAGGAUUCGGGAACUCGGUGUUUCCUGGAGGCUGUCUGGACCAAGUGGAAGAUGACUGUCAGAGGGUGCAGCUCAGCAGUGUGCCAGUCCGUGUGAGUGGCAAGGUGUGCUUCCUUAUCAGCAGGGCUCUAUGCUAAUGUAACUGUCACAUGAAAUACUUGCUGCGGUGGCUCACUUAAUGACUGUCAUAAAAGUGUGGCAAUAUCUGGCAUUUUAAGUGUGUGUGGUGUCUAAUGUAAGGCUUGCUAUUGUAAAUAGGCCACACAUUUAGAACUAAUUACAUGCAAGCUAUGAUAGCAGGUUUAUUUUUUACAGCUAUCUGAGCUGUGAUCAGCACUUGUAAUCACAAAGCAAAGGAGAAAUAAACAGUGACAGCAACACCUUCAUGUUGAAAGCAAAGUCUUGUCCUGGCGUGUUAUGAAGUACUAAGUAUUUUUCAAUAGAAAGUGAAAAUGAUUAGUCAGAAGCAGAUAUAAUUACGAAAGAGCCUGGAUCGGGCUUUUAUACUGUGUUUACAUCCACACGCAUUGUUUUUUCUUUAAAGCUUUAUCUCAGUCAGUAAGUACCCCAGAUGCUAUAAUUUUGAAGUAAUACACAUAUUUUUCACUUCCUUUGAGGAUCAAGGCAGAGGAAGUUGCUGUCUUUUUGAGCCUUGGUGAUGCGUUGUUCUUUGCCUGUGAUUUUUUUGGUUGAAGCAGAGUUAGAAAUUGGUUAUUACAUUAAAGGAGACUUUAGUCUUACUAGCUCAGUAAGGUCUCUUACGUGUCCUGCAAUCCUGAGACUUUUCCAAAGCCAUUCCCCAUGCUAGAAAUAAGAAAUCAGAGAUUUCUGGAAAUGGUUAUAGACCCAGGUAGUCAGUGGUCUCCCUUAAGGCCAGGGAUGGGGUUGGAGGCAAGAGGGAAAAACAAAUCCCCGCCACACGCACACAAAAUGUUACAGGUAUAUGCUUGUAUCCCCCUGGGCAGGGGUUCUGGAACUUUCUUCAGAACCUGAGAAGGAAUAUGAAGCAUUAGAAGUUUGGAGCUGAUUUAGGCAUGGGAAGCCAUGAACAAGUGGAGACCAUCCGGUGUCUGCCGUCUCGAGGAUGUCAAACCAACGCAGCUUGGAGCAGCGGAGCAGGAAUCUGAGACAACUGCUCUCAUCUUUAGGAGGCUCCUGACUUUAGGGGUCCUUCUGAGGACCUGGGAGGAGCUGCAGUUCCCGUUGUCUCAAGCCCGGUGCUCGUAUCCAGCAGCGCGUCCCCCUCUCUUUGGUCCAGGGUCCAGCCUGGGAGACCGGAGCCUCCGUGGCUGUGUGGAGGAUCACUCUCCAGCCCAGUGGCAGUCACAGAGCUGCUGUGUGGGGUCACGCCUUGGGCUCAGGCAGUUGGGGACCACAUCCAAAGGUUAAGGUGUGCAAGGCAGGUGCAGGAGACAAGCCUGGGGCUCUGAGACAGGCUGGUGGGAAAGGCCCCUGCAACUGGCGGAGGGUGGACCAGGGCUUGAUCCCUUGGCCUGCUUGUGUAUCCUCGAAUCCACGUUCUUUCCUUCUCGCAGGUCUUCUCCCCUUUCCGCUUGCUCCUGCUGUGGAGGCUGCCCAGCUAAAUACAGGUGCUCAACACCCAGGACCUCCCUAAUGCACUUGUCUGCCCGCCUUUAUCUGUUUCUUUCUUAUACAGGUCUGUUCUCUGUCUGUCUCUCCUUUCCCUCUAGUCCCUAUUUUUACUCUAAUAUCAAUAUCGGAAGCUGGAUCUCUCCUUAUUUAUUUUUAAUCUUUGAAAUCUUCCUAUCUUUUUCUUACCAAAUGCAGUGCGUUCUCUUGUUCUUCUGGCAAAUUCCCUCUCUCUCGCUCUCGCUCUCACUCUUGCUCUUGCUCUGUGUACCCCUCCAUUCUGUCCCUGCUUCCUUCCUUCUUCCCUUCCUUCCUCUUUCUUAUGCUUUCAUUCCUGAGAGGGAGCAGGUAGAAUGGGUAACCUUAGGAUCUUUGCUCUUUAAAAAUGAUCUAACAAUUCUGAGCACAAAGGGUCCUUCUUUAGCAUAAUUUCUGAAAUAUCCUUGGGUGGGGCAGGGGUGAUGAGAAGGGAAUGGCCAACGGAAACCCCACCUGGGAGAGAGAGGACUCUCCCUCACCCCAAAACCUUCUUGCAAAACAGAGUGCAGACACCCUGUGCACCCAGCUGGGUCUUCAGCCAAAGGUCCAGCUCAGGGAGGCUCUGGGUGUCGCAUGAGUUCUCUGAGACCCUCCAUGUGACCCAGCAGUGGAUCUCAUUGCUUGAGUGACUUCAUGCAUGCUGCACGGUGUAUUUCUCUGACACUGUUUUUGAGGUUGAACUUUUUUUUAAAUCUGCACUGCUACUGAAAGAUCAGCGGUGUCUUUCUAGCUCAAUGGAGUCCCUAAUUAGACUUUCAGUUAAAUUCAGGUCCAUCUCCCCUGCUGACCUCCCUGUCUUAGCCUUCAUUCCUCAAAGGGAUCUCACGGUUUCCUGUGUGCUGUGCUGCUGGUCUUCUCUCUGUCCGGCUUGUCUGCUGAACGCCUCUCCCUCUCAGGGCCAUCUCCUCUUCAAUCCUCCACCAAGACAAAGGACUUUCUUCCCUCAGGUUCUGGGCUUUCACAGCCUCUGACCUGUGUUUCCGGUCUGCCUUGACUUUGACCUUCAGCCAGUGCAUUCCUCAGGAGAGCAAUCUGUGGGCAGGGACAAGGUCUUCUUGAUCUUCCCUGUGUUAUAUCUUAGGACUAUACUUUAGUAAGUGGUUGCUGAACUGGCUUACAGAGUGAUCAAAAAGAGACAUCAAUAAUUUUCUGAUUAUUUUUCAUGCUUAAAAAAUACUUCUUUGAUAACUGUAGUCAUGGUCACAAUAAUGAUUUGUCUGUUUCACAAGGAGCAUUAUGGGUUUGGGCUUCCCACUAACCCUGUAAAGGGUGCAUUAGCUCUACUUCCUAAAGGAGGCUGCGUUCUCAUGAUGGACCCAGCUCUUUGACCUCCAAAAGACCUGCUGUUUCCACUUGGGUCGGAGAUUUCGCACGGGAAGGGAAGUCCAGUCCAGGAAGCAUGUUCUCAUGGUCUCUUCUUCCCUGCACCACGCAUACCCCCAUGACUCUCAGGAAGUCACCAUAAAUGGGUUAGUCAGGGGCUGGCGUUGUGCAGUGUGUUAAGCUGCCACUGGGGACACCUGUAUCACAUAUCAGAGUGCCUGGGAUAGAUUCCUAGAUGCUCUGCUUCCCAUCCAGCUCUCUGUUAAUGCACCUGGGAGGCCGCAGUGAUGGCUCAGGCACUUGGGUGCCCGAUCUGCAUGGGGUUCUGGGUUCCUGGCUCAUGUUGGCCCAGUCUGGCUGUUGCAGGCAUAUGGGGAGUAGACAGAAGGUUUUGUGUCUCUCCCUUUCUCUUCUUCAUUUUGCAUUUCAAAUAAAUGAGUCUUCAAAAGAUGGGGUGGGUAUUUAAGGGGACUUAAAAUAGUUGUGAAAAAAGGGGAAUUCAAAGUUUAUUUUGGUGCAAACAUUUUUGAAAUCCAUAAUCCACGUGUGUGUGUGUGUGUGUGUGUGUGUAAUACACAUUUCCAAGAACUUUUUGAAGACCCCUUGUAUUACUUCAUUCCUUUAGUGGAGAAGUGUCGUCAUUGGUACCUUUGUCCUAGACCCUGGGCCCUGUGGCUGGUGCUAGCUCGGGCUGAGACAGUGUCCUGGCCAUUUGCUAGGAGAGAUCACAGCCCCUGUUUGGACACAGCUGCCACCCUCAGCCUGCUUUGAGGCAGAAAUCUGCUUUGAUCUGUGUGCGGGCCUGGGAGGUUACGGCCCUAAUUAAUUCAAGCAUAACAAUCUGAAUUUCGUUUUCAUUCAGAGAAAAGCAUAAUCAUUUCAAAGCUCUCGUAAUGCCGGAAUUCUUAAAAAUCCAAUUGAAUUUUAUUUUCAUAAAUCUGCUCAGGGUGAUCUCUGGACAGCAUGGAAACAAAAAGAUAAUGAAAAAUGUUUCCUUUAAAUCGCUGAAAAUUAUUUCUGUUAGAAGAGGGGUUCUUGUCAUAAGGCAUGACUUUGGAAGAAAAGAGCGACAAUUUAUAAUAAGCAGAGGAGUGUCAACAAACUCGUCCUGAGAAUCCAGGGUUUGUCAUGUGCGUUCACCGGCUUGCUAAUCCACCCCGUUCUAUGGAAAUGUCACAUGAAUUGAAGAAAAAUAAAAGUGUGAGGGAGCCCAUGGAUAUGAAAGCACUUUGUAAACAGCACCGUGCUUUGUAAAUGUGACAUAUUAUUACAGCCUGACUUCUGCAGUUCCCUUCCCCAUGGUUAGAAAUUAUUAGAGGUCCCCUGGCUCCUGUCAGACUCCUUUUUAAUGAUCUUUAAGCCUCAUUCCUAAAGGCAGGGCAGUGAUACUGGCAGGAAAAGUGCUUAAUAAUUUGUUUAUGGUAAAAUGCUAUCCUAAUUAGUAGAUCUCAUUAAUUUCAAUAAGGCAUCACUCCAGCCCUGCCCUCCCCCCCACCCCAGUCAGUCAGCCGGCAAGUCCCGUCGCCUUUCCCUAUGAGACCCACCUCGUCCUAUUUGCUUUGUCCUCAUUGCCUCCACCUGAGUUUGUGACCACUUGCGUCACACCUGGGCAGCCUCCACUCGUGCCCACGGGCAGUUCCCGCUCCAUGGCAGCCAGAGGAGUCUUUCGGAAAUGUGUUGCGUCAGCCCAGCUCCACACCUUGGGUCCCAUGGGCCCCAGCCCGGCUUGCUCUCCACCUCUUCUUAUGCCAUCUCUGUCUCCCACACUGACCUCAUUUUCCAAUCCUUUAAGGAUUCGGAACUCCUUUCUGCCUUAGGGUUGGCCUUUGCUGUUCCUUCUACCUGGAAUGCUGUUCCCAGGAGCGCUCCGUGAACCUGCUGCUCAUCUGCCCCCCUUCACCGCCAGCGUUUCUUCCUGGGAAGGCCUGCCCUAGCCAUCUCGCGAGAGCGGCCUGUCCACUCCGCCAGGCUCCUUAACCUUUGUUCCAGCUCUGACUUCUCAAGUCGGUCUCACUUGUGUAGCUGUGUAUCUAUUGUUCAUUUUUUCCUAAUCAAAUAUAGAGUCUUUGCAGGCAGAAACUCUCCGUAAUUGCUUGUGAUGCUUGAAAUCCUCUAUUUUCAUUCAAAUUUUACUAAAGGGAAAACUACAGAACAUAGAUUAUGUAUUUUUGUAAAAAAAUUAAUGGUUUCUUGGGAAAAACCUAAUACCCAAACUGACAGGUUGAAGAUUAUUCUUUUCCCAAGUUCUAUUUGUUUUUUUGCAGGGUGCAUCCCUCAUGGUAAAGUGUUCAUUCUACAGAUUACUUCUUGUGCACCUUCUGUGUGCCAAGGCAUUGGCUCUAGAGAGCCCAUGGUGACAGACAGAUAAUAUCCAUUCUCUGGGAAAAGCUGGUUAACAAUUUCCCCUAUGUAGCAAUUUAGGAUGAACACAUCUGCCACCUCCACGGAGCCUCAGGGAAGUCAGGAAGUAAUGGUGUGUCAGCCUGCAGGUAUUUCAAGAAAAGCCCCUGGUUGUCAUGAAAGCCCAGGGUGAGAACAUCCUUGGAGAAGGCAGCGCAGCCUGGGUCAAAUGUUCUGAAAACGGGCUUCAUAGGGCAGUCUUGCUCCCGAUGCUAGUCUGCCAAGCAGUCGGACAGAAAGUUUGGGCAAAUUCCGAGUCUUUAAGACUCAACAGGCUCCCUCUCUAAAACCAGAUUUAGGCCUUUGCAUUUUGGCAUUUAGUCAUAGCUGAAAGAAUGCUUAGUUGAAAGAGCGAUGAUUUUACAGAGUUUGGGAUUAGCUAGCAAACAGCUGGAACAAAACUGAUUUUGUCGAGUUUUUGAAUGGCUUAGAAACAAUUGGGCCUAAUUUUCUUCAAAAUUAACAUCAGUAAAAAUGAUUAAGUAAAACAAAACCCUCCUGGGCAAAAAAAAAUAAAAUGAAAUAAAAUAAAACAUGAAACUGGAAUUUGCUCAGCCUUCUAGUUCUUCUACCCUUGGUUGACAAAGACAUAAACUUGGGAGCACUGGCAGGGUUUUUAGCUUGUAAGAUUAUUACAAAAUUAGAAUUCCAAGUUUUGGAAUUGUUUGAAGAAGAGACUCUCUUGACAUUUCCAAUUUCUGCUAAGUAUUAAAAUAUAACUCUCAUAAAAAGAUUGUACGUCAUAGAAUUUCCAAGCUGGAAGGAAUCCUUGAGACUGUUUAGUUCUUUCCUCAAAGGUGGAAACAGACCCAGAGGGGCCAGUGGAGGCACUCACGUUUUGUGCUCCAGAGGCAGUCACGUGAGUGACAUAUGAACUGCCUGGUGCCCUCCCCUUUCGUGAAAGGGAUGUUUCCUUUCAGGACCCCUUAGUUUCAGAUUCCAUGUCAUGCUCCCGACAGCCACUGCACACAAAACCCAUGAAAACAGAAAUCAGAGAACCGGGGCCUGGGUUGCGGUGGUGCUGCCGGAAGCAUCUGUGAUGGGUGGAGUGUUAGGCACUGUUUUCUUUGAGUGUCAAAGUCCCUCCACACAAAUAGCAAGACGGAUUCCUCAGCCUUUAAUACAAAGAGAUACUUCUUUCUUUUCCCUCUCUCUCUCUCUCUCUCUUUUAACCAUGGAAGGGUGCAGCUACAACUUUCUGUGACUGAUUGGCUCUCUCCCACCUCCUUAUACAACAACUGUGUCCACACAGAGAGGGGUAUGGAUAUAAAUGAAAAUUUAAAAGGUACCAAGUGAGGAGGAAUUUUGCCAGGGACGAAUCGGGAAGUGUUGUCUGAGUGGUGAUUGUCUGGCCUGGCCCUUUGAAAAUACUUAGAGGUUACCUUGUUGCAAGCCAAGUUUUCUUUUUUUAAAAAAAAAAAAAAAAACUGCUUUAACUAUUUGAGGUAAAUGAUCAUCUUUGCCUCAACAGCCCCCAACACACACUGCUUGUGAUGAUGUCUCUUCAGGCUGCACGUUGUUCAGUUUCUACAAGCCGAGGAGAAAUUUAGCUUGUUGGUAGUUGGAAGACAGAUCUGCAGGGAGUAGAAUUAGUAAUCUGUAGCCAUACCCCCUUCCAGGCUGUUUUCAGCUACUUCUGGACCCAGGCCUGGGAAAAAAUUAUUUGAAUUCUCCUUGGAGACACUGUUAAAAUUUUAUUUUAUUAAUUAGUGUCCACUUAAAUUUAAGUCAAUAAAUACCCGGGGAAAUUAGUCUUGCUCUGAAAUCACACCAAUACAUAAUGAUGAUAAUAAAACAAUAUAGCAUUUAAUAAAUAUGAUGUUUACUGCCAAAAAGGGCUUACUACGUCUAUUGUCUUAUGUAUUGCUUUAUGUAUUCCUUCCAGAAUACUUCAUCUGUUGAAUUUUUCGAUGAGAACAUGGAGAUCUACUAUUUUUCUUAAUAUUCUGAUAAUGAUAAAAACAUGAAUAUUCCAAAGAACUUAUUAGGUACUCAUCACUGAUAAUACUAAAUGCUGAGCUUAUUUGAUUUAAAUUAGGAACAAAAGAAGUUUUUAUUUUUGAUGAACAUGAUCUGUCUGACAUUUUUCACUUUGUGUUCAAAGGGGAGUGGGCAAAGCCAUUUGGGCGUCAGAGUUCAGCUGGAUGAUACAUAUUCCACGUGUGGACUGGGUCAAGAUCAGAGAGCCUCUUCCCUUCCUGUGGCUUAGAAACCAAGUUGUUAAUAUAGUUAUUCUCUCUGGCAUUUAGAUCAUGAAUUUUGCACAGACCCACAUCAAGGAGAAGAGAGGCCCUUUGUAUGUUAGAUUUGCAGAAUGACUUCAGAUGUUUCGACUGGAUAGCUGCAGAACAGAAUGGGAAGACUACAAGACAUGAUCUCCCUUGCUGCCUUCCAGAACGCUGGACUCUGCUAUUAUCGGUUAUCUGUUGCAAUAUCAUGCUGUGAUCCUUAUCCAGUGAGGUCUGGUUUUAUUAUUCUUCUUAAGAUUUUGUGAGUGGUUGGUUGACUUGUUUUAUAUUUUGGGAAAACCAGUAAUGUCUCCUAAUAGAGUAUCUUCCUCCUCAAGUUGAAAGAAGGAUUUGUUGGGAAUGAUCUUUUUUGAAAAAUGGAUUUUUUUUCAUAUAUCGUUCUGCACAGAAAGGCUUGCUUGUAACUGCAUGUAAGAGUUUUCAGUUAGUCCCCUGCAAGCCCAUCUUCACUGUCUAUGGAGAACAUAAGAGAUGUCUUAAGACAUUUACUCUAAGGGGUCGCUGUGGCACCAGCACAUCCUUUGAGUAAGGAUGCUUAUCAGAGAACUACCCCUGAGAACCUGGAAAGCUGAGCUUUUGUCAGUUGUCUCCAUUGAGGUCUUGUGGACACAGUAUCUGCUUGACCCUGGGAGAAGAAGAUGGGGUGUGAUAAAGGGUGGUUUUUGUUCUAUUCACUGAUUUUCCUCAUCUCUUCUUUUAAAAAAAAAAGUUUUUAAAGUUAUUUAUUUGGAAGACAGACAGGCAGACACACACACAGGGAGGGAGAGAGAGAGAGAGAGAGAGAGAGAGAGAGAGAGAUUUUUCCAUUUGUUAUUUCACUGCCCAAAUGCCCGCAACAACCAGGGCUGGGCCAGGUUGAAGUCAGGAGCCUAGAACUGAAUCUAGGUCUCCUACAUCGGUGGCAGGGAUCCACGUACUUGAGCCAUCACCUGCUGCUUCCCAGCGUGUAUAGUAAGUAGCAGGAGCCUGAAAUCAGGACUUGAACCCAGGCACUCUGGUGUAGGAUGCAGGCAUCCAAAGUGGUGUCUUCUCUGGCCUCAGAGUCAGCCCUUAAAGCAUUCGGAUCUGGCUAAAAAGCCCAGGAGAGUAUUUCAAGCAUGGGAAGCCAAGACACUGUGGCAAAAAUGACCUAAAAAUGAAAGAUCUCUGUGAGUGAGAUCCCAAUGGAAAGAACGGACCAUCAAAGAAGGAGGUACCUUUCUCUGAAGGGAGGAGAGAACUUCCACUUUGACUAUGGCCUUGUCUAAGUAAGAUCAGAGUUGGCGAACUCAAGAGACUUCCACAGCCUUGGCAGCUCAUGACAAAAACCUCAGGUGAUUACUGACAUCAUAAAUAAGAGUGUCAAUUGUUAAAUCAACAACAGCAGUCACUGUGCACUUGCUCCCCAUGUGGGACCUCUGUCCUUAAUGAGUUGUGCUAUGAGAAUUAACGGUAAAACUAAUCUUCAAACAGUACUUUAUGUAUGUCUGUGUGAGUGUAAACUGUUGGAAUCUUUACUUAGUAUAGAGAUGAUCUUCUGUGUAUAAAGAUAAUUAUAAAAAUGCAUCUUAAUGAAGAAUGAGAUGGUAGAGGGAAUAGGAUGUGGGAUGGUUUAGAGGUGGGAGGGGAGGUAUGGGGGGAAGAAUCUCUAUAAUCCAAAAGUUGUACUUAUGAAAUUUAUAUUUAUUAAAUAAAAGCUUUCUAUAAAAAGUCAAAGAGGUGAAGUAGUGUCUUAAGAGCAAACAAAUCCUGUUCCUGAUCCAUCCAGGCGGCGAGCCACUUACCUCUAAUUUUUUCAGAGUCUCUCUGUUUCUCUCUCUCUGAGACUGAAUUAUUUAUUUUGAAAGUUAGAGUUACAGGAGACAGAGAAAGAGAGAGCUAGAGUGAGAGCAAAAGAGAGAGAGAGGGGGAGGGAGAGAGAGAGAGAGAGAAAGACAUCGAUCUUCCAUCCGUUGGUUCACUCUCUAGAUGGCCACAAUGGUCAGGGCUGGGCCAGGAUAAAGCCAGGGUCUAGGAGCUUCAUCUGGGACUUCCAUGUGAGUGCAGGGGCCCACGUUUGGGCCACCUUCUGCUGCUUUUUUGAGGCCAUUAACAGGGAAAUUGAUCAGAAGUGGAGUAGCCAGUACUCAAAACAGGCACUCAUGUGGGAUGUCAGCAUCACAGGUGGUGGCCUUAACUGCUACAUGAAAGAGCUGACGCCAGAGUCUUUUUUCUGGUAUGAAAUUGAGCUGUGUCUAGAGAUACUUCCAGAAGUCCGUAUCAGAUGUUUUAGGUUAAGUGGCUGGGGAGGUGAUGUGUGGGUAGAAUGUAUUUGUGUCAGCCAGUAUCAUCUUGAUUCUCUGGAAUGUUGACUUUUACCUGAAAUUCCAAUAUUAUACUUGCCUACAAUGUGCAGUGGUGAGAGCCAUCUUGAGACCAGUAUCAUCCAAAGCACACACACUUGUGCAUGGCUAAAGUUGUCAGCAACAGCUAAUGGUUAGGCUGAUAGAAAUGAUCCCCAAACAGGUCUCCAAGUCUGUGGUUGCAACAGUUGCAACAGAAUCCACCACCAACAUCAACCCAACAACAACCCAGUUGCACAGCACCACCUGUGGGAAAUCUGUGGAUGGGUGUUGCACUGUCCCCCAGCCCAGGGCAGGUUUCUGGAAACCUGAUAGUUUAUUUUCCACAACUUCUGAGUUAGAUGAGUAGAACAUGCUGAAUACUGGGAUGUGUGUGUCUUUUCUUUCUGUGAACUUACUGAUAACACUGUUUAGGCAUAGUCCUUAGACUCAGUUUCUGGGCUGAACAUGUUUCAAUUACUCUUCUUUUCAAAUUUAUUUUCUUAUUACUUAUCUGUGAAGUAUGGAAACAGAGAAAGAGAGAUGGUGACAGAGAAGGAAAAGAGAGAAUGUUCUCCCAUUUAAUAAUUCAUCCCCCCCAAUACCCACAACAGCCAAGACUGGACCAGGAAGAAGCUGGGAGAUAGGACUCAAUCGGGGCAUCUCACAUGAGUGACAGUGACGAAAUAUUUGAGCCAUCACUAUCUGCCUCCCAGGGUCUUCAUUAGCAGGAGCGUGGAGUCAUGAGCCAGAGCUGGCAUUUGAACCCAAGCACUAUAUGUGGGACACAAGUAUCUUACCUGCUGUCAUAACUACAAGGCCAAAUUCCCAACUCCUCAAGGACUCUUCUUAAUUGGGCAGGAGAAGAAAGCCCACAUUACCAAUGCAGAUAAUACACUUACUGGCUUCUUUCUCUUUAAGUCAAGUUUUUCCUAGAGCCAUUGCUACAGCUUUAGUGAGGCAUAGCAUUUGGUACUUUCCAAUACACUGGAGCUCUGAGUGGAUCGCUGAUGUAGCCUCUGUAUCUAGCACAGUGCUUUGCAUAGAGUAAGGUGUCUGCAAAUUUUGUCCAAUGAAUGAGUGCACAGAGAAUCUUUUCUCCUGCUCCUCUUGGAAGGAUGCCUAUCCUUGUUUCAGUUCAAAUGUCCCUUCUUUGUAGAAAUUGGCCCUGACCCCCUAAUGGAGAAUCACCAACAAUUGCUGGUUAUUCUCUUUCCUAGAAACCAGAUUUCCCUCAUUGAAAGUCUUUAUUCUAUUGGCUUAUUUGUCUUUUAAAUUUAAUGUGUGUCUCAUCUGUUUGACAGAAAGUUCUAUUAAGACAAGAGGCCCAUGUCUCUUCUGUUCCUCAUUCAUGCACAGUGCCUGCAGAGAAUGUUGCUUAAUAAAUAGCAGAUAUUUGUAAAUCCACAGUAGAUGACUGCAUGGGUGAGUGACUGGUGCAUACCCACCCGUAUAUCUGCAGGGACAGUUAUAUGCUAGCCCUCUGUCACCAUGGAGCAAGAAUUCCACAGAAUGGCCAUUAGCAAAUAGUAGGGACCGAGCAGCUAAAAAGGUGGUUUGGUUUUGUCAUAUAGUGAAGUUAGUUUCCAGGGUUAUCAGGUUUAGGAUAGAGAGCUUCUUUAUGGCAACAUAUUAUAAUAUGUUCUUAGAUUGGCCCUUGAUGCAAUUCUGGCUCUAAUAACAAACUAUGUGAUCUUGGGCAAAUUACAUAACCUUUCUGAACCUUUUUUCCUAAUAUGCAAAUUUGAGAUGCAAAUAGUACUUACUUCAUAUGGCUAUUUAGAAGAUUAAACAAGGUAAUGCAUGUAAAGUAUGUAGUUUCGUGCCUGGGCACAGAAUAAAGAAAAAGUACUCAAUAAAUUAUUAUUAAAUUAAUAAUACCAUUUGAAGUCCAUCAGUGGGCUAGCAGUGUCCCAGGACUCAAUUAGGUUGUAAUUAAAUAUAUUAAACAAUGUCUUAUGCUCAACUUCAGUGAAAGGAAUUAGUGCUUUGUCUUAAUGGCUAUAAAAUUCUACUUAGCUAAAUAAUGGAAUCAGAUAAAUUCUCUACAGUCAAAGCUGGAUUUAGUAAGAUCUGGAAGGUUAUACUACAAGGCACAUUGUCAUUGCAGAUUAAAACAUCUCUGCACCCCAAAUAUUACAGUUAUUUAAUAGGAUGCUGGAUGGUCUUUUAAAAUUUCUUGAACAAAAAGGAAAUUUAAACAAAUAAAAUAAGAAUUUAAACUACAUCUACAUCUAUAAGCUUACCAAAGUGCAAUAUAAUCAAUAUUCCAUAAAAAUGAUUUUUGAGCUUUUGUUGAAAGUAUAUUAUAAAUAUAUUACUAUUACUUUUUCCUUAUUUGAAAAUAAAUGCAAUCUUUAAAUAUAAUGUUUAAAAAUGUUUAGUCAUGUUGACAUGAUACAAUUAUGUGUAUAUAUAUAUGUAUAUAUAUCUGGCAAUUUAGAUAAUUUGCAGUGACAGGUAAGACCUAAAUUACAGGAACCAGAAACCCAAUUAUUUCAAAUUGAAUAAUCUUGCUAACCAGUGUCACUCAUUUCAAGGGAACAAAGGCAAUGGUUUUUUAAAAUACUUUACUUCUAUUAAUAGUUCUGUUAUAAUUUCCCACAAAUUGUAUCAGAGUUUUUCUAUACUACAUAGACUGUAAAAGCUGGACAUGUAUUUCUUCAUCAAAUUCAAGAAAAUGUAUAUUUUCUGCCUAACCCCUGACUAUCUGUUUAUAUGGGGAACAGUGGAGACUCUUACUCCAUAAUAGCCUACAAUUUUCUCAUCACUCUUUAACUUGGGCAAAAAAAAAAAAAAAAAAAAAAAAAAAAAACAAA
This is a non-coding RNA of Oryctolagus cuniculus (rabbit), 13369 nucleotides long. The record is from RefSeq and is a predicted model, not a curated record. Lineage: Eukaryota; Metazoa; Chordata; Mammalia; Lagomorpha; Leporidae.